GAUGAACGCUGGCGGCGUGCCUAAUACAUGCAAGUCGAACGCUGGAAAUCUAGCUUGCUAGAUUGAAGGAGUGGCGAACGGGUGAGUAAUACAUAAGCAACCUACCCACGAAGACUGGGAUAAUCUCUGGAAACGGGGACUAAUACCGGAUAGGUAAUCGGAAGGCAUCUUCUGAUUAUUAAAGGUUAAAAACACUGGUGGAUGGGCUUAUGGCGCAUUAGUUAGUUGGUGAGGUAACGGCCCACCAAGACGAUGAUGCGUAGCCGGCCUGAGAGGGUGAACGGCCACAUUGGGACUGAGACACGGCCCAGACUCCUACGGGAGGCAGCAGUAGGGAAUUUUCGGCAAUGGGGGAAACCCUGACCGAGCAACGCCGCGUGAGUGAUGACGGCCUUCGGGGUGUAAAGCUCUGUUGUAAGGGAAGAACGGUAGAUAGAGAAUAUCUAAAUGACGGUACCUUACCAGAAAGCCACGGCUAACUACAUG
RNAcentral lists this ribosomal RNA (486 nucleotides) under uncultured bacterium. RNAcentral describes it as "partial 16S ribosomal RNA". It matches the Rfam family "Bacterial small subunit ribosomal RNA", at positions 28 to 507 of the family's 1533-position model. The record is from RNAcentral.